CCUAACUUGUACUGAAAAACUAUUAUGUAAUACUAAUUCAAAAUACAACUUCAACAACGGAUCUCUUGGCUCUCGCAUCGAUGAAGAACGCAGCGAAAUGCGAUACGUAAUGUGAAUUGCAGAAUUCAGUGAAUCAUCGAAUCUUUGAACGCACAUUGCACUCUCUGGUAUUCCGGAGAGUAUGCUUGUUUGAGUAUCAGUAAACACCUCAAGUCUCGACAUUCGUGUUGAGAAUUGGACUUGAGCAAUCCCAACUCUUUGCAAAAAGGGGCGGGUUGCUUGAAAUGCAGGUGCAGCUGGACAUUCUUCUGAGCUAAAAGCAUAUUUAUUUAGUCCCGUCAAACGGAUUAUUACUUUUGCUCUAGCUAACAUAAAGGUAGAAUGUGCUAUAUGCUGACUGAUGCAGGAUUACCAAGUUUCCGUCAAAAGAAACUUGUAAACUCGAUCUCAAAUCAAGUAAGACUACCCGCUGAACUUAA
Molecule: ribosomal RNA, 479 nt
Filed under: uncultured fungus
Lineage: Eukaryota; Fungi
Description: eukaryotic LSU rRNA
Rfam family: 5.8S ribosomal RNA (bases 46-199)
Source: RNAcentral